GGAGAUGUAGCUCAGUGGUAGAGUACUUGCCUAGCAUGUACAAGGCCCUGAGUUCAAUCCCUAGUACCACCA
This 72-nucleotide transfer RNA is filed under the name Cavia porcellus (domestic guinea pig). It matches the Rfam family "tRNA". Rfam says of the family: Transfer RNA (tRNA) molecules are approximately 80 nucleotides in length. Their secondary structure includes four short double-helical elements and three loops (D, anti-codon, and T loops). The record is from Rfam by way of RNAcentral. Lineage: Eukaryota; Metazoa; Chordata; Mammalia; Rodentia; Caviidae.